CGAACAAACGCUGGCGGCGUGUCUUAAGCAUGCAAGUUGAGCGGCAAGGGGGAGCAAUCCCCCCUAGAGCGGCGGACUGGUGAGUAACACGUGGAUGAUCUACCCAUGGCAUGGGGAUAGUCACUAGAAAUAGUGGGUAAUACCGAAUACGGUGCGUACUGUGAGGGUACGCAAGAAAGGUGCUACGGCACCGGCCUAGGAUGAGUCUGCGUCCCAUUAGCUAGUUGGUGAGGUAAGAGCCCACCAAGGCGAUGAUGGGUAGCCGGCCUGAGAGGGUGUACGGCCACACUGGGACUGAGAUACGGCCCAGACUCCUACGGGAGGCAGCAGCUAAGAAUAUUCCGCAAUGGACGAAAGUCUGACGGAGCGACGCCGCGUGGAUGAAGAAGGCCGAAAGGUUGUAAAGUUCUUUUGUUGGGGAAGAAUAACCAUGGGAGGGAAUGCCCGUGGGAUGACAUGAACCGACGAAUAAGCCCCGGCUAACUACGUG
Molecule: ribosomal RNA, 490 nt
Filed under: uncultured bacterium
Lineage: Bacteria
Description: bacterial SSU rRNA
Rfam family: Bacterial small subunit ribosomal RNA
Source: RNAcentral